RNAcentral lists this long non-coding RNA (1419 nucleotides) under Daucus carota (carrot). RNAcentral describes it as "long non-coding RNA (DCAR_LNC003580)". The record is from RNAcentral. Lineage: Eukaryota; Viridiplantae; Streptophyta; Magnoliopsida; Apiales; Apiaceae.
UUUGGACGAGACGGAUACGAUCGAAGACGUUCAGAAGGUCAAACGAUGUUACAAAGCGAAUAAGGAACGAAUCGAGUAAACGAAGCAGUGUGGCGAAUAGAGUAUAGCCAAAGAUGGUCUAGAGACUAUGAUAUGCAUAGAGUGUGAAAGUGGAAAGAUGAGAUUGAGAUAUGAGACUGGAAUCGGAUUUAAGGCAAGUUUUCCUAAAUCCUUCCUCAUAUAUAUAUUGCAUGUGCUGAUUUUUCUGUCAAGAUUGUGAUAUUGUUUAUACUGAAACCCUUCUCAAAUAAACUCUUACUUCUGAGCAUGAAACCCAUGAUUGUUUUCUUCUUCCAAGUUUUGAAAAUCCAAACACCUAAUUACUCUCAAUAUCUAUUACAAGUAUUCUGAUCCAUUCUUUCCAAUCCUCAAGAUAUUAAAAAUACCAGCUUUACAAAUUAAUUCGAAGUUCAGACCGUCAUUGAAGCAUGUGUUGCUCAGUGAUAGUUAGAACCUAGAAUGAAUUGGGAUCUUCUUGAUUAUUCAACCCGCCAUUGUCAUGCUGGUUUAGCAGGCUAAAUUCAGUUGCUUAGCCGAUAAUGGAGGAUACUGAAUAAUUAGGAAUUUCCUGAACUAUGAUUUAUCAAAGGACGAACUGUGGUUUAUGAAAUGUUGAUUCUCGAAAGUUGAAUUUGAAUAAUUCUGUUGUUGAUAAUGAUUAUAAUUCUAUUCUGUUGAUUGAAUUGUCUAUUGAUUUCAAUUGUUAGAAUUGGAUUAGUUUUUAUAAAAUAUGUGGACCAGAUUCAUGGUCAGACCAGAUUCGUGGUCAAUUAUAGGCCAAUGUGUGCCUUGGAUCCAGUAUAGAGAACAGGGCUGUGUGCCAUGUUCGGGGUUAGUGCGUGACUGAUCAGCAGCCUAACCUUUGGUUUUUAAGUAAAAAUGUGAUGAAUCCAAUUCGACAAUUCUUCUGUAAGUUUGAAAUUCUGAUUUCAAUUGCUGAUAAGAAUUGUGAAGUUUUCAAUUACAUAUCCUGAACUUGUGAACCCUGAUAAAAUAUUUCAGGACUAUUGUUGCUUAUAUACACUUGCUGAGCAUUGUUGCUCACCCUUGCUAUUCCUUUUUAACCAUUUCAGAAAAGCUUAGAGUUGAAUUGAGAUUGCGAGUAUGGCUAAGGCUAAGCGAGGAGUCAGAGUUAUAGAAUAUCCAGAGGACAAGUGGAAUGUUCAGGGAGAUUGACAAGGUUGGUUCUAGAUAGAGUUGUAUUAUUGAGAUUCAGUUGUAAGUCAUAAUUGAGGUAGACUUGCAGUGAUUCUUCUCAUCGAAGAUGAUCUGAGUUUGUAAGAUAAUGUUUAUUAAUAGUGGUUGAUUCUAAUUUCAAUACUGUAACCUGGAUGCGAUCCUGUUUUUAGGGGGUUAAAGUGUUUUCUUUUAAAUCUUUUA